CACCACCACCCCAAAAACAAAAGGAGGAGAAGUAGUGAGGGCAAGAUUCAUACUGAAUUCAAAGAGAGUGUUCACUUCCAUACAUUUAAGACUGUUUCUUUUUCAAAACAUUUUAUUUUCAAAAAGCGAGUUAUGUAUUCAGACACUAAAAAGACAAGGAAAGAGAAAGAUGAUCACAUUCUCUGCAUAGUUAUCUGAAAAAUACACAAAAUCUUUUGGGGGAAUUUAUGUGCACGAGUGUUUUAAAACGGUAACAGGAGAAGACACCCAUAUACAGAUUUGUUUAAAUAUCAUUCAAGCAAUGCCUUCUCAGCUGAGCUGCUGCUUCUCUGGUGGAAACCAUCUCUUUGUGAAGUCAGAUAGUGUUUGAGGCUGUAACUGGAGCACUGAUGGAGGUUCUGUGUUCCAGCUACUUCAAUGCAGGAAUCACAUACAUCUUCCUCUCUCACCUCUCCACGUUGUGACCUUUCUGAGAAGGCUGCCACAUACCUCUUCAUUCUAACGUUGAGCUAACAGCACAAAGCACUUACGACUUGUAUGUAAGAGAUGAUGAUGGGAAAAGGAUGAAGUGACAUAGUCAGUAAGCUCUUGGAAAUAAGAGCUGUACUCUGAGAGAGUCCCAGUCCUGACUUAAGUUGGUUCUGAUCAGAUCGAUGUAAAACAUUUCUGCCCUUGGAAGUUUUUUUUUUCCUUUCUGUUUGGCACAUCAGGGAAUGUUGAAAAUUUAGACAUGAAAAAUACAAUGAUGAAGAGAUGACAAGCCAACAACAAUGAAUUCCAUCUAAAUACAUUUGCAACAAACAUUCUUAUCACUGUAAAAAUCACAUGCACGUAAGUCAACAUCAAAAGCCAUCGAGCAACAAUAACUCAGAUGACUUAAGGGCUAUGUACAAAAAACCCCACCGGUCUAUUUUACAACUGGUAAGAAAUUUGUCAAAUAAAAAGAAGCAGUCAAAUCCAACUCCAGGCAGUGGGAUUUGGAUACAAGGGAGAAAGGGGAAAUUUGUGCUGGUUGAAGAAGAACAGAAGCCAUCUGAAUCCAAAAGGCAUCAUUCUACAGUAUCACCAGUUAGAGAUGACCCAAGUGCUAUGAAGUCACACAGGCUACAGAGGAGCUUGUAGCAUUACUAUCUGAGGCAGGGACAAUGAUGUUCUUUCUGGUUGCAGUCAAGGGCAGUUUCAAGGCAGGACUGUUUCCAGAAGACAGGUGUUCCUCAUGAACAAGAUCCCUAGUUUUCACUCAGCCUCUUUCCUUCUGGAAAGAUUUGGCUUUUCUUAAACCCUGUCUUCUGCAUCACAGCCGACUUCAUCUUCAAAAGUAGAACCAUGAUGCUUUGCUAAUUCAUGACCCAUCAAGGCCUUCGUUGCCCCAGAACAGCCAAGGAGGCCACCACAUUUGCUUUACAAGGGGCCCACCCAGUAUUAUCCUUCAAAGGAAGAGCAAAUCACCAGGAAGUAACCCUGGCAGCUGUGUCAGAGGUGUUCCAUGUAUGAUCCAAAGUUUAUCUCUUGAACACCUAUGCAGUAAGAUCAGCACUGAGUCUUCAGC
Long non-coding RNA from Pogona vitticeps (central bearded dragon), 1549 nucleotides. The record is from Ensembl. NCBI's taxonomy places the organism in Eukaryota, Metazoa, Chordata, Lepidosauria, Squamata, Agamidae.